Molecule: ribosomal RNA, 450 nt
Filed under: uncultured bacterium
Lineage: Bacteria
Description: partial 16S ribosomal RNA
Rfam family: Bacterial small subunit ribosomal RNA
Source: RNAcentral
GUGGGGAAUUUUGGACAAUGGGCGCAAGCCUGAUCCAGCAAUGCCGCGUGUGUGAAGAAGGCCUUCGGGUUGUAAAGCACUUUUGUCCGGAAAGAAAUCUCCUGGGUUAAUACCUCGGGGGGAUGACGGUACCGGAAGAAUAAGCACCGGCUAACUACGUGCCAGCAGCCGCGGUAAUACGUAGGGUGCGAGCGUUAAUCGGAAUUACUGGGCGUAAAGCGUGCGCAGGCGGCUAUGCAAGACAGAUGUGAAAUCCCCGGGCUCAACCUGGGAACUGCAGUUGUGACUGCAUGGCUAGAGUGCGUCAGAGGGAGGUGGAAUUCCGCGUGUAGCAGUGAAAUGCGUAGAGAUGCGGAGGAACACCGAUGGCGAAGGCAGCCUCCUGGGAUGACACUGACGCUCAUGCACGAAAGCGUGGGGAGCAAACAGGAUUAGAAACCCUUGUAGUCC